Macrobrachium nipponense is the source of this 947-nucleotide long non-coding RNA. RefSeq lists it as uncharacterized. Lineage: Eukaryota; Metazoa; Arthropoda; Malacostraca; Decapoda; Palaemonidae. The transcript is spliced from 4 exons. The record is from RefSeq and is a predicted model, not a curated record.
CUGGGAAACUAAACAUUGGUUGGAAGUUUUCUGACCGUGCUGCAGUCCGGGGCCGUAUUGGUGGAGACAUAAUGGCAAUUAUUGUCAGUUUGCUUUAGACAGCAUAUACACUAGCAUCAGUGCGGACAGAACAAAACUUCUCGAUUACUUAUCAGUCACAGAAGACAUGGAAUUGAGUGAGGUACUGGUGAUUUAUUACAGGGUAGUGUGGUAUAACCGUAUGAUAAAAUCUGCUCCAAAAUCAUGGAGUGACUGGUCAUGUGUACUCCUGACUUGCGACUCUUGCCAAAAAUACCAGUUGUCCGUAACCCUUCAACUGGGAAAAGUGUUUAUCUGGAUUGCUUGAAUGUUUGUUUAUAACUUUCGCAGUGCUUGAAUAUAUGGGUAGACGAUGUGUCAUAUAUUAAACUUGCCUAAGUUGAAAGGCUUGCAAAUUAACGUUACUGUGUGGACUUAAAAAUCUUUCCUGACAUACUAAUGACGUUGUGAAGUAUGAUUCCAGACUGAUGAUUGGAUAGCUCCAUAUAUAAGGAGUCGAGACAUUUAAGGACGAGCUUCAGCUGUCUUGCAUCAGCUGUCUUGCAUCAGCUGUCUUGAAGUACUAUGCUGCCAGACAGCCACCUGAGGAGAUAAGACCACCUGGACAACUGAAAGCUAUCAAAGGCUUAAACAUAAUCGAGAGCAUGGGACUAGAAACAUUGUGGAGAGAUGCUGACAUCCCCAAUGGCCACUGUAGACGAUUCCACAUCAAAGGAAAGGGACUAUAGUGAGAUGAUGGUGAUCUGACAGCAAAUACAUUAUAUAUAUUUCUUGGAACGAACUGUUCUGAUACUCUGAAGAAGACUGGCUUGAAAUGCUGGAAUCAAUCUUGACAACUUAAUUCAAUAGUCUUUUGCCUACAUUGUACCCUCUGUCGAAAUAUGUUUUUGCUUAAGAUGAACUGUGAU